GAUGAACGCUGGCGGCGUGCCUAAUACAUGCAAGUCGAGCGAACAGACGAGGAGCUUGCUCCUCGGACGUUAGCGGCGGACGGGUGAGUAACACGUGUAUAACCUACCUAUAAUACUGGGAUAACUUCGGGAAACCGGAUCUAAUACCGUAUAAUAUAUUGAACCGCAUGGGUCAAUAGUGAAAGACGGUUUUGCGGUCACUUAUAGAUGGAUCCGCGCCGCAUUAGCUAGUUGGUAAGGUAACGGCUUACCAAGGCAACGAUGCGUAGACGACCUGAGAGAGUGAUAGGCCACCUUGGAACUUGGCCACGGUCAAGACUCCUGCGGGAGGCAGCAGUAGCGAAUCGUACGCAAUGGGCGAAAGUAUGACGGAGCAACGCCGAGUGAGUGAUGACGGUCUUCGGAUCGUAAAACUCUGUUAUUAGGGAAGAACAAAUGUGUAAGUAAAUAUGCACGUAUUGACGGUACCUAAUCAGAAAGCCACGGCUAACUACGUG
RNAcentral lists this ribosomal RNA (497 nucleotides) under uncultured bacterium. RNAcentral describes it as "partial 16S ribosomal RNA". It matches the Rfam family "Bacterial small subunit ribosomal RNA", at positions 28 to 507 of the family's 1533-position model. The record is from RNAcentral.